This 307-nucleotide ribosomal RNA is filed under the name uncultured eukaryote. RNAcentral's name for it is "partial 18S ribosomal RNA". It matches the Rfam family "Eukaryotic small subunit ribosomal RNA", at positions 1470 to 1796 of the family's 1831-position model. The record is from RNAcentral.
CCCUUAGACGUUCUGGGCCGCACGCGCGCUACACUGACGAAGGCAACGAGCUUUCCUUUACCGAAAGGUACGGGUAAUCUUUUGAAACUUCGUCGUGCUGGGGAUAGAUCCUUGCAAUUUUUGAUCUUAAACGAGGAAUGCCUAGUAAGCGCAAGUCAUCAACUUGCGUUGAUUUCGUCCCUGCCCUUUGUACACACCGCCCGUCGCUACUACCGAUUGAAUGGUUUAGUGAGGCCUUCGGAUCCGCGACUCGUUUGUGGAGAAGUUGGACAAACUCAGUCAUUUAGAGGAAGUAAAAGUCGUAACA